Molecule: ribosomal RNA, 473 nt
Filed under: uncultured bacterium
Lineage: Bacteria
Description: partial 16S ribosomal RNA
Rfam family: Bacterial small subunit ribosomal RNA
Source: RNAcentral
GAUGAACGCUAGCGGCAGGCCUAAUACAUGCAAAUCGAACGGGUGGUCGCAAGACCACUAGUGGCGCACGGGUGCGUAACGCGUAACCAACCUGCCCCGAUCUGGGGGAUAGCCCGCCGAAAGGCGGAUUAAUACCGCAUAUACCCGCAGCCUGGCAUCAGGCAACGGGGAAAGAUUUAUUGGAUCGGGAUGGGGUUGCGUGACAUUAGCUAGUUGGCGGGGUAAGGGCCCACCAAGGCGACGAUGUCUAGGGGACCUGAGAGGGUGAUCCCCCACACUGGCACUGAGAUACGGGCCAGACUCCUACGGGAGGCAGCAGUAGGGAAUAUUGGGCAAUGGGCGAGAGCCUGACCCAGCCAUGCCGCGUGCCGGAUGAAGGCCUUCUGGGUUGUAAACGGCUUUUCUCAGGGAAGAAAAAGACCUUGCGAGGUACACUGACGGUACCUGAGGAAUAAGCACCGGCUAACUCCGUG